Molecule: ribosomal RNA, 570 nt
Filed under: uncultured bacterium
Lineage: Bacteria
Description: bacterial SSU rRNA
Rfam family: Bacterial small subunit ribosomal RNA
Source: RNAcentral
AGAGUUUGAUCCUGGCUCAGGACGAACGCUGGCGGCGUGCCUAACACAUGCAAGUCGAGCGAUGAAAUCCUUCGGGAUGGAUUAGCGGCGGACGGGUGAGUAACACGUGGGUAACCUGCCUCAAAGAGGGGAAUAGCCUUCCGAAAGGAAGAUUAAUACCGCAUAAUAUGUUUUGGUCGCAUGAUCAGAACAUCAAAGGAGUAAUCCACUUUGAGAUGGACCCGCGGCGCAUUAGCUAGUUGGUGAGGUAACGGCUCACCAAGGCGACGAUGCGUAGCCGACCUGAGAGGGUGAUCGGCCACAUUGGAACUGAGAUACGGUCCAGACUCCUACGGGAGGCAGCAGUGGGGAAUAUUGCGCAAUGGAGGAAACUCUGACGCAGCAACGCCGCGUGAAUGAUGAAGGCCUUAGGGUUGUAAAGUUCUGUCUUCUGGGACGAUAAUGACGGUACCAGAGGAGGAAGCCACGGCUAACUACGUGCCAGCAGCCGCGGUAAUACGUAGGUGGCAAGCGUUGUCCGGAUUUACUGGGCGUAAAGGAUGCGUAGGCGGACAUUUAAGUCUGAUGUGA